RNAcentral lists this RNase P RNA (385 nucleotides) under Brucella anthropi. Its description in RNAcentral is "Ochrobactrum anthropi partial RNase P RNA component class A". It matches the Rfam family "Bacterial RNase P class A". From Rfam's summary of the family: Ribonuclease P (RNase P) is a ubiquitous endoribonuclease, found in archaea, bacteria and eukarya as well as chloroplasts and mitochondria. The record is from RNAcentral. Lineage: Bacteria; Pseudomonadati; Pseudomonadota; Alphaproteobacteria; Hyphomicrobiales; Brucellaceae.
UCAGUCGGUCGGGCAGCCGCGCUUGUCAUAUGCCGAAAGGCGGCAGGUGAGGAAAGUCCGGGCUCCAUGGAAACACGAUGCCGGGUAACGCCCGGCGGGGGCGACCCCAGGGACAGUGCCACAGAGAGUAGACCGCCCCGUCUUCCGUACCGCUUGGUCAAGCGGCAGGGAUGACGGGGUAAGGGUGAAAGGGUGGGGUAAGAGCCACCGCGCCGGUGGCAACACAGGCGGCACGGUAAACCCCAUUGGGAGCAAAACCGAAUAGGGACGGCGCGCGGUUCGCAAGAACCGGCAAUCAGUUUCCGGAUCAGCCGUCCGGGUGGGUUGCAAGAGGCGGGUGGCGACAUCCGUCCCAGAUGAAUGGCUGCCACGUUGGACGCAAGUC